Molecule: small RNA, 901 nt
Filed under: Cryptococcus neoformans H99
Lineage: Eukaryota; Fungi; Basidiomycota; Tremellomycetes; Tremellales; Cryptococcaceae
Description: Cryptococcus neoformans var. grubii H99 hypothetical RNA
Source: RNAcentral
GCUGUCAGAAGAUUAGACAUCCUACGCCUCUCAAAGUUACUGGUAUCGAGCGAACAGAAUAAUAUAAGCCGCAGAUAAAUAAGCGCUUGACAAUUUCGUUCGGUUCCCAUCACGGCCAUGUCCUCGGCUUUUCAACCCAUUCGCUUUGGCUUCAAAGUACAAUUAUCUUAGUGCUGGGACAUACAUUGUUGAUUGUCUCUACUCACAACUUCUCUCUGCUCUUAUCUUCCUCACCCUCCUUUGGCAAUGUUUGACGUUAUUAGAAAGUUCAGACCUCAAAACGUAUUAUUCUUUCUCCUACGAUGCGGUAGUUGGGCAAAAGAAGGGACUUCUGUUCGGCUUGACGUUCGUGAAAAGGUGUGUGCGUCCCUAGCUCUUCUGCGUGGAUUGUGCUGCGCGAACAGGCAGAAACUGUCUUGACAGCUUUUUCAGAUGUACAGGAAAGCACAUUGAUUGUUUUGACAUAUAAUCUUGGCACGUACACUCUUCUUUUCCUCAACAUCCACACUUUGUUGUCAAUGAAGAUGCACGCACGGAAGACGAGCGUGCGAGAAUUGAUAAUCAAAGACUUCUGGUUAGGUCGGAUGAGCUGGUGGGAAGGAAGAAUCGAGCUGGAGCAUGAUGAAUUUUGAAAAGGUGUGAUGAUGUACACGUCCAUUUGUGUAUUUUUUCUGUACUUCUUCAUAGACGAUACUGUAUCAUACAAGACAUCCAUCCAUCCAUGCUUAUAUACCCCCCUCAUGCAUUUCCUCUGUACAAAUUUUGCUUCACAAUUGCUACGUCCACGAAGUUUAGCAACUAAAGUCUUGGACGAUCAUCAUUCUUGGUCCAAAAACCAAAAAAACGUUCAUAAAAGCUCGUCCAAAUCUAUCCUGACAUAAAGAACACUUUUCUAAAAACC